GACGGGCGUUUCUUUCUCUCUCCUACUGGGAGGUCCUUCAGACCAUGGAUAGAGGAACUCGUGUCACUCUCCAGGAUACAGUACCUCUUCUGACUACACUCCUCCAGAACCUCCAUGAUCGCUGCCUGAUAAGCCCUCUUCUGAUGCACA
Molecule: long non-coding RNA, 150 nt
Organism: Haliotis rufescens (red abalone)
Lineage: Eukaryota; Metazoa; Mollusca; Gastropoda; Lepetellida; Haliotidae
Exons: 2
Source: RefSeq, a predicted model, not a curated record